GUACUAGAACGUCGCCAUACCCUAACCCGCAAGGGAGGGAGGCGCCUAAGGUAGUGGUCGGUGAUUGGGGUG
RNAcentral lists this ribosomal RNA (72 nucleotides) under uncultured bacterium. RNAcentral's name for it is "partial 16S ribosomal RNA". The record is from RNAcentral.